CCCCCCUCCUAAAUGGACGGACUACAGGCUAUGUCUAUCCUGUGUUAGGAAUGAGUCCUUUUCAAAACAAAAAUGCACAUUUCCCCUGGAGUGGUUUUGACUUGUCCUCCAUGUUGCCUUAGAAACCAACCAGGAAGCUAAUCCUGCUAGCCAUCUAGCCCAGUGACAAUGGAUUGUUGGAGUGGGAGCCCUGUGCACAAGAACCAACGCCUUUUAUUCCAAACAAAGGAUUCCUCUCUCCCUCUACUCUCCUCUCUUUUCUCUCGUUCCCUCUCUCUUGCUCCCUCUCUCUCGUUCUCUCUGUAGAGUCAGAUCAGUGAGCAUCUCCAGACUCAAUCAGACGCCUCCCUAUCUCCCCCACUCAUUUCUCUCACUACUUUUGAAGUGUCUGGAAACAGUGGCUCGCUUUAUCUUUCUGUAUCCUCCCUAGCUCUGAAAGCAUCCUUGUCUUGAGUGGUGAACCUACUUCAGGACCUAUUUUCGAUGAUUUGGCUUAAAUGUGCAAUGGACUGGGAGCUACGUGAUGAUGAAAGUCUUACCCUCUAUAAGCAGAGUUGUCUCUCAAGCGUUUGACUCUCUUUGCAAUAGACUGUAGGUGGGUCAACGUGAGAGAGCACUUCAAGAAUAGCUACAGAGGCGCCAUAAAUUCCUUUUAAACUUUUCUGCAUAAAGCAAAAGAAACCCAGGGCCCAGGCAUUCCACUAGGAAGCAGAUAACAUUCUGACGACAUUCCCAGAAUGCGACUGAUUUGUUUAGCAGGUCGGCAGGUGACAAAGCAUCAGGAGACGAGUGCCUCGACCCACAUUUUUAUACAUGUCCCUCCCUACAGUAUAGCAGAAUGGUAUGACCCAUAACCCUAGCCCCUCACAUUUUUCCAGUAUUAUGUACCAGGAUUGGUUCUGUCUGGUAAAUCUGAUUGGAUUAAAUCCAGGAAGUGACUAAUUGGCAUGUUAGGAGGUACGCUACAGUAUAAUAGCUCGCAAACAAAUUUAGUUGAGACCCCCCACACACACACACACAAAAGCCAUGUCAUUGGAAUACGUUGGCUGUUCCAUUCUAGGGGAAUCGACCCGCGUGGCAAGAUUUGUGAUUAGUCUUAACUGUGCUGACGAACCGGGUGAUAAUAAUGAAUUAAGGUUGCGAUAAAGACAGGGUUAAUUUAAUGAAUAUGGAGAUAUGCCUAAUUAAUUACUUUCCUCCAACAUAAAGUUUGUAUUUAAUGAGUCAGGAUCUGAAAUGGGAUUUAAGUGGCACUGUGCGUUUUAGUGGAUUCCAUGGCAGGAGUCCCCUUCAAUGGGAUGGCAGAUAAUUUCCUGAUCAUGUGACCUGACCGGGGGCCCAGAGUUCUUACUUCCGGGUCAGGUCACAUAGUCAAGGCCAGGAGUUGUUCUUGACUAUCAUUCAUAGCCUGACCUGAGAACAAGUGGGAUAACUGCUCUUCUCUUGAGCCAAAGAGAUUGGGUCUGUUAUUGACUCGUGCCAUUGGCUAACAGACUACUGACUGGACUGCGUCUCAACCGAUAAGGUGCCUCCCCUCUCUACCUCUCCCCUUAUUGCACAUAACUACUUAGAGACCUAUCACGUUUAAUCCAGAUGGUCAUUCUUACCGAGAUUUGUUUGAGAGGCCUUUCUGGUUUAAGACUACAGUAUGUCAUCCCACAUUUCUUCCUCACUAUUACAUAUCAGAUCAUGAACAGAAUGUGUGCAUUUACUCCAGGAGCCGUUACAUGCACUAUGGCAUUUCAUUUGUGGUUCAACUUAGGUUAACAGAUAUCGGCAUUGAGGUAAACCGACACUGAGCCUAUAAAGACAAUCCAAUGCAACUCUCAGUAGUGAUGUAGUCAUCACCGAAGGACAAGGAAAUGGGCAAGAAUAUGACAUAUUUUGGAUUAUAAGAGCAUCUGCAAACAAUAAUUGUAUUCACAUUCAUCAUAGUAUUACAUAUUGGCAUUUCAAAACGUCCCUUUUACAGGUUGGUUUGUGUAUUUGUAACCCUGUGACACUUUGAUUUAAGGCUUUAAAACACAAAAAUACACAUUUUAUUUCCCUGACUUUUAAGGGUCUAAACCGAUGUGUCGUGCAUGUGCAUCAAGGAAGUAGUGCACUUCUUUGGACCACAGCCUAUAAGUUCUCUGGACUUAAGUAGUGCACUAUAUAGGGAAUACAGUGCCAUUUCGGGAAGGAGAAACUGUCAGUAAACAGAAAAUGAAUACAGAGCUCCUUGGCUCUGGCCCCCUGGCUUUUCCAUAUCCCAUCCCAGUCGUCUAAAGCAGUGACAGGUGUGUUAUUGCUUACAAUACUAAUCCACACAAGACCCCUACGCUAUAACCUCGUCAUACAAGUCGACAGGCGCUACAUCCUCCCAUCGCCAUUAUGGGGUUUUGUGUCGCAGUUACAGCCGGCCCCUGCAAUUCCCAUAGCGACAGGAUGAAACCCAAACUGAUGUUUGCAAUUGUAGCAAGAGUUUUCGGUAUUGCUGCCUGUCUGUCACGUCAAGAGUCUAGGCCCUAGCCCUCAUAUCCGACACAGUUCUUCAAGGUCUUAUCUUUAGACUUUGAUUUCCCUUAGAUGCCACGCUGUCAGUCAGUUGGAUGCGUCAAAGUCCUCAAAGGCUAUAGUGUCGUACACGGAGAACCCCAAAUGUGCUCAACUUAACUUCUUAACUGUUGUGAGGUUGUAUGUUUGCCCUACUAAGGGCAGAGUCACUUUACACGUAUGUGACGAUCUUGUGUAGAUUAUAUCAGUUUGACUAUAUUUUAUCAUCUUAGGUCAAAGGUCAGAGGGAUCCAUUUGAGGAGUGUGUUUUGAGUUUGGGAAGCCAUCAGACAAACCGAUACAGUGGAAUCAACCCUUCAUUUUGGAUGCCAUACUACACUGAUCCUGUAGUGAGAUUGAAAAUUGACAAUUUUCUUGAAGUAACUAGCUGUUAGGAGCUGAACUGACGUUCAAAGACAAUGACCUUGCGAAUGACCUUUUGUGGUUGUACAAAAACUUCAGAUUCACUCAUCUCUGGAUAGAAUCAAAUAAACCUCAGGUCCUUGGCCUGUUCCCCUCUGUUUCGCUUCAUGGUCUUCUAACCCUGGUCACAGCGGUGACAGGUUUUUGGACAGGAGACUAGAUUCCUAGAACGCUGUCGGGUCGCUCCGCUGCCUGUCCCUAGAUUGAUGCGGAUGACACGCGACGUUCCAAUAAAAAUACUCGUGACGAGUUGUUUGUGACGCACUGCCCUUUCAGGCAUUGCCUCAUCCGUCAUCAGGAAUCAAUGUCCCCAUCCGGGCUGACAGGCCAAAUGAAACAGAGAUUUGCAGAGGAGGAGAGGAAGGUAAACCCAAUAGACCAUGUUACGACUACUCAACUACAAAUACUGGCUUCAUUCAGGCUUACUUUGUCCAUUCAUGUCGAGCUUUGAGGCGUGUCAGUUAUUAACAUUAAACCAAAUCACUGAAACUCUUUUUACUUUCCCAUAGCAAAUCGCAUCGUGUCUACUACAUCAAUUUCUUCCGGCUCUGUCUCCUUCAUGGUUAAUGGAGACUUGGGGUCAGGCGCAGCUCAUUUUACCCAGUAUCCUCGCUGCUUACCUGGACUGAAUGAAUCAGCUGUUCAUUCAAAUAAACCUGAUUAAGGACUCCAUUACCGUCCUUUCGUACCCAGCUAUUAUCACCAGAGGGGGGAUUAUUUCUCUUCGUGGACCGCAUUAAAAGGCAACACCUGCCCCUGUCUCUUUGUUCUGCAUGAUGUCAUCAAACAAAAUGAUUAAAGAUGACCUUUACGAACUGUGGCGAGACAAUGGCCUCUAGGGAGCCAACUACGUGUCUGUCUGAGUCUAAGCCAAUACCAGGUGUAGCCUAGUUCUGAAGCUAGCUCUUAAGCGUAAACAUUAUUUCUCAUCCGUUUUGGUCUGAACACUCGAGGUCACCAUCUGUUGUCCUCUUGUUCAAAUGAUAACACUUAAAGGGAUGGUUCACCCAUAUUACAAAAUGACACAUUGCUUACAGGGUAAGGAAACCAGUCUAUGGACAAGGUAUGACCGCAAUCCAUACUUUGCUUUUUAUUUCCCUGGUACUGUUUCCAAAUGCUAACAUUUGGAAACAGCGGCUACCCAGAAUUCAGUUUAGUUCAUGGAAGUGUGAGGAAACGAUGCAUGGACCAAUCUGUGUGGUUAUUUAGUUCCAAGGUCUAAUUGACUAAUUGUUUCAUCUAAAGAGCUACUUUUAUUUUGAAUCAACCCUGUGCCAAAGAGCCGUUCCCUGUACACAAAGCAUAUGGAGCACAGCGUUUGAAUCUCUCUCUUAUGGAACUGUCAACAUUUGAAGACGUUGAUGGAAAGAGAACAUUAUCCAGUCAACACUAAUUAGACUGAAUCAGAUCAAUUAAGUGUCUGAAUACUCUUUUCCUUGCCCUUUGCUGAAUUUGAAUAGACCUCAUUACAUGCUGACAAGGUUAAACGUUGCUAUCGGAACAACCUAGGUAAGAAAAAGGAAAAGAAAAAAAACUUUGCUAUUCAAGGUAUUUGGGGGUAUUUGUAGUGGGUGGUCUAUUUCAGGUGCUGCUUCAAUAAAGUUUUUGAAUCGAAUUCAAAUUCAUCAAAGAACAAGCAGCCGAUUUUUAAAAGAGGACGGUGCAAUUCCCUGGGUCUUUGUGGAAGAACAUGUGGGACUCCCACUCAGAAAAUCACAGUACUGUAUAGCACUCCUUCCUGCUGUGACCGGCUCCCAUCAGCUUACAAUGGAGUUUUAUAUAGGGGGACAAAUGAGAGGAUAUAUUUAUAACGGCCCUUUUUUUACACACUGGACUGAAAACCUUUUUGAAGAGGGCCAGAGACAGAGUCUACAUUAGGAUGCUUGAUUGCUUCAUAUUUUUUGGGCGACCUGGUUUUUAAUUUGUAUUUUUUUGUAUUUUACUUUAGGUCUUCACUGGAGUAUUUAAGAUAAAAACAGUAUGGGUGCUUCACCAGGGGCGAAUCUUAACAUUCCUGCUUACAAAUUGAACCAAAAACGGUUUUGUAUCACACACAUCUCUCUAGGCAUCCCAGUAUUUCUUUGAAACAGAAAAUCAAAAAUAUAGUUGAGAGAUAUCCUCCUGACAUUGAACAAGAUCCCAAACUGAGAUCCCUUCGAUAAGCACCCAUACUGUGCAUAAAACUGCUAUCUUCCUAGACAUAGAUGAGGUCUUCAAGUUUCACUGAAACAAGGUUUGACAACGGUGGACAUUUUGUGACCUCCCUGUCUUUGUAGACUAUCUAUUUGCUUUGUGUUCUGUUCAACAUUCCUUUCUGAAUCAUUUUUUGUUUGUUUCAAAAGCAUAUGUUAUGUCAGUGUUUCUUAACCCUGGAUUUGGAAACAGUGGGCUAUGUGAUGAAAUGUUGCGUUGCCUCAAAUACUGCAAUACAACUUCCAGAUUUGGUUUCUGCUCGUAUGAGCUAGGUUGUUUUGUCGUUAGGCUUUGAGAGGAUGUUGUCGUUCAUUGUGUUGUGUGUUUGUGAAAUUUCGCACUGGGCUGGGCCUAAUCAAAAACUAUUUUGUUGUUUGUGCGUCAGAGGCGUGUAUGUGAGAGAAUGUGUGUACUUGUUUUUUUUGUUCUUGACUAUUUUAAUUGGGUUUAACCUGUGAAAAACAUAAAGGAAAAACUCAAAGAAAACGAGACCAAAUAAAAUAUAACAACCUUGA
Molecule: long non-coding RNA, 5666 nt
Organism: Oncorhynchus tshawytscha (Chinook salmon)
Lineage: Eukaryota; Metazoa; Chordata; Actinopteri; Salmoniformes; Salmonidae
Source: Ensembl